Molecule: ribosomal RNA, 221 nt
Filed under: uncultured bacterium
Lineage: Bacteria
Description: partial 16S ribosomal RNA
Rfam family: Bacterial small subunit ribosomal RNA
Source: RNAcentral
UACGGAGGGUGCGAGCGUUAAUCGGAAUAACUGGGCGUAAAGGGCACGCAGGCGGGCUUUUAAGUGAGGUGUGAAAUCCCCGGGCUUAACCUGGGAAUGGCAUUUCAAACUGGGAGUCUAGAGUACAUUAGGGGGGGGUAGAAUUCCACGUGUAGCGGUGAAAUGCGUAGAGAUGUGGAGGAAUACCGAAGGCGAAGGCAGCCCCGUGGGAAUAUACUGAC